This is a long non-coding RNA of Passer domesticus (house sparrow), 340 nucleotides long. RefSeq lists it as uncharacterized. NCBI's taxonomy places the organism in Eukaryota, Metazoa, Chordata, Aves, Passeriformes, Passeridae. The transcript has 2 exons. The record is from RefSeq and is a predicted model, not a curated record.
AUCAUUCCUUCUUCCUCAGGGCUCAUCUACCUCCUCCAGGUCUUCUUCCUCUAGGUUCUCUCUGACCAGCCAACCCACCCUUUUAUCACACUUAUCUUUAUUAGUCAUAGCUGUGACGCUUUAAGGGCAAAGCUGUUCUUCUUCUUUGGUAAUUUGUACAGCUAUGACUUAUCAGGUGCCUUGUAGACAGGAUAACAAGACAGCAUGAUGGGACAGAUAUUUUGACCCAGCUCCACAAGCCUAGCAUCUCCCAGCUAGUGAUCUAUCCCAUAUAUCAUUGAUAUCCCAGGAGCUGCCAGGCGGGAUUAUCAACAAUAAAAGUUUUCAAAUUGUCAUGCCA